UGGGGAAUAUUGGACAAUGGGCGAAAGCCUGAUCCAGCCAUGCCGCGUGUGUGAAGAAGGUCUUCGGAUUGUAAAGCACUUUAAGUUGGGUGGAAGGGCAGUAAGCGAAUACCUUGCUGUUUUGACGUUACCGACAGAAUAAGCACCGGCUAACUCUGUGCCAGCAGCCGCGGUAAUACAGAGGGUGCAAGCGUUAAUCGGAAUUACUGGGCGUAAAGCGCGCGUAGGUGGUUCGUUAAGUUGAAUGUGAAAGCCCCGGGCUCAACCUGGGAAGUGCAUCCAAAACUGGCGAGCUACACUAGGGCAGAAGGUGGUAGAAUUUCCUGUGUACCGGUGAAAUGCGUAGAUAUAGGAAGGUACACCAGAGGCGAAAGCGACCACCUGGGCUCAUACUGACACUGAGGUGCGAAAGCGUGAGGAGCAAACAGG
RNAcentral lists this ribosomal RNA (429 nucleotides) under Pseudomonadota bacterium. Its description in RNAcentral is "Proteobacteria bacterium partial 16S ribosomal RNA". It matches the Rfam family "Bacterial small subunit ribosomal RNA", at positions 355 to 776 of the family's 1533-position model. The record is from RNAcentral. Lineage: Bacteria; Pseudomonadati; Pseudomonadota.